This 380-nucleotide ribosomal RNA is filed under the name uncultured eukaryote. RNAcentral's name for it is "partial 18S ribosomal RNA". It matches the Rfam family "Eukaryotic small subunit ribosomal RNA", at positions 592 to 976 of the family's 1831-position model. The record is from RNAcentral.
CAAUAGCGUAUAUUAAAGUUGUUGCAGUUAGAACGCUCGUAGUCGGAUUUCGGGGCGGGGCGACCGGUCUGCCGAUGGGUAUGCACUGGUCGGCGCGUCCUUCCUUCCGGAGACCGUUCCUACUCUUAACUGAGCGGGGGCGGGAGACGGAUCGUUUACUUUGAAAAAAUCAGAGUGUUUCAAGCAGGCAGCUCGCUCUUGCAUGGAUUAGCACGGGAUAAUGAAAUAGGACUUUGGUGCUAUUUUGUUGGUUUCGAACACCGAAGUAAUGAUUAAAAGGGACAGUCAGGGGCACUCGUAUUCCGCCGAGAGAGGUGAAAUUCUCAGACCAGCGGAAGACGAACCACUGCGAAAGCAUUUGCCAGGGAUGUUUUCACUGA